RNAcentral lists this ribosomal RNA (1521 nucleotides) under Alkalibacter rhizosphaerae. RNAcentral's name for it is "Bacterial small subunit ribosomal RNA". It matches the Rfam family "Bacterial small subunit ribosomal RNA". Lineage: Bacteria; Bacillati; Bacillota; Clostridia; Eubacteriales; Eubacteriaceae. The record is from Rfam by way of RNAcentral.
AUAAUAGAGAGUUUGAUCCUGGCUCAGGACGAACGCUGGCGGCGUGCCUAACACAUGCAAGUCGAACGUGAUCCAGGAAGUAGUUUACUACGACCUGGUGAAAGUGGCGGACGGGUGAGUAACGCGUGGGUAACCUGGCCUAUGGAAGGGGAUAGCCUCGGGAAACCGGGAUUAAUACCGUAUAUAGUUGGAUGAUCGCAUGAUCGACCAAUGAAAAAUUUAUUGCCAUAGGAUGGACCCGCGUCCCAUUAGCUAGUUGGUGAGAUAACAGCUCACCAAGGCGACGAUGGGUAGCCGGCCUGAGAGGGCGAACGGCCACACUGGGACUGAGACACGGCCCAGACUCCUACGGGAGGCAGCAGUGGGGAAUAUUGCGCAAUGGGGGAAACCCUGACGCAGCAACGCCGCGUGAAUGAUGAAGGUCUUCGGAUCGUAAAGUUCUGUCGAAGGGGAAGAAAGAAAUGACGGUACCCUUAGAGGAAGCCCCGGCUAACUACGUGCCAGCAGCCGCGGUAAUACGUAGGGGGCAAGCGUUGUCCGGAAUUACUGGGCGUAAAGGGCGUGUAGGCGGUUUUUUAAGUCAGAUGUGAAAGUUCGGGGCUUAACCCCGGAAUUGCAUUUGAAACUGGAGAACUUGAGUACUGGAGAGGUAAGUGGAAUUCCUAGUGUAGCGGUGAAAUGCGUAGAUAUUAGGAGGAACACCAGUGGCGAAGGCGACUUACUGGACAGAUACUGACGCUGAGGCGCGAAAGCGUGGGGAGCGAACAGGAUUAGAUACCCUGGUAGUCCACGCCGUAAACGAUGAGUGCUAGGUGUUGGGGUAACUCAGUGCCGUAGUUAACACAAUAAGCACUCCGCCUGGGGAGUACGGUCGCAAGACUGAAACUCAAAGGAAUUGACGGGGGCCCGCACAAGCAGCGGAGCAUGUGGUUUAAUUCGAAGCAACGCGAAGAACCUUACCAGGUCUUGACAUUUCCUGACGACCUCAGAGAUGAGGAGUUCCCUUCGGGGACAGGAGGACAGGUGGUGCAUGGUUGUCGUCAGCUCGUGUCGUGAGAUGUUGGGUUAAGUCCCGCAACGAGCGCAACCCUUGUAUUUAGUUGCCAUCAGGUAAAGCUGGGCACUCUAGAUAGACUGCCGUAGAUAAUACGGAGGAAGGUGGGGAUGACGUCAAAUCAUCAUGCCCCUUAUGACCUGGGCUACACACGUGCUACAAUGGUCUGAACAGAGGGCAGCGAAACAGCGAUGUGGAGCCAAUCUCAAAAAACAGAUCUCAGUUCGGAUUGCAGGCUGCAACUCGCCUGCAUGAAGUCGGAGUUGCUAGUAAUCGCGGAUCAGAAUGCCGCGGUGAAUGCGUUCCCGGGCCUUGUACACACCGCCCGUCACACCACGAGAGUUGGCAACACCCGAAGUCAGUGAGCGAACCAUUUAUGGAAGCAGCUGCCGAAGGUGGGGCUAGUAAUUGGGGUGAAGUCGUAACAAGGUAGCCGUAUCGGAAGGUGCGGCUGGAUCACCUCCUUU